CCGUCUGGCGUCCUAGGUGGGGCGCCGCGGGACCUUUCUUCUGUCUGUGGCGGUGGGAUCCCGUGGCCGUGUUUUCCUAGUGGCCCAGCC
Nomascus leucogenys (northern white-cheeked gibbon) is the source of this 90-nucleotide microRNA precursor. It matches the Rfam family "mir-663 microRNA precursor family". The record is from Rfam. NCBI's taxonomy places the organism in Eukaryota, Metazoa, Chordata, Mammalia, Primates, Hylobatidae.